RNAcentral lists this ribosomal RNA (397 nucleotides) under uncultured bacterium. RNAcentral's name for it is "bacterial SSU rRNA". It matches the Rfam family "Bacterial small subunit ribosomal RNA", at positions 64 to 507 of the family's 1533-position model. The record is from RNAcentral.
GAACGGAUCCUUCGGGAUUAGUGGCGGACGGGUGAGUAACACGUGGGAACGUGCCCUUUGGUUCGGAACAACUCAGGGAAACUUGAGCUAAUACCGGAUGUGCCCUUCGGGGGAAAGAUUUAUCGCCAUUGGAGCGGCCCGCGUCUGAUUAGCUAGUUGGUGGGGUAAAGGCCCACCAAGGCGACGAUCAGUAGCUGGUCUGAGAGGAUGAUCAGCCACAUUGGGACUGAGACACGGCCCAAACUCCUACGGGAGGCAGCAGUGGGGAAUCUUGCGCAAUGGGCGAAAGCCUGACGCAGCCAUGCCGCGUGAAUGAUGAAGGUCUUAGGAUUGUAAAAUUCUUUCACCGGGGACGAUAAUGACGGUACCCGGAGAAGAAGCCCCGGCUAACUUCGUG